GCCUUAGUAACGGCGAGUGAAGCGGCAACAGCUCAAAUUUGAAAUCUGGCCCUCGGGUCKGAAUUGUAAUUUGUAGAGGAUGAUUUUGGUGCGGUAUCUUCCGAGUUCCUUGGAACASGWCGCCUUAGAGGGUGAGAGCCCCGUACGGUUGAAUGCCUAGCCUUUGUAAAUCUCCUUCGACGAGUCGAGUAGUUUGGGAAUGCUGCUCUAAAUGGGAGGUAAAUUUCUUCUAAAGCUAAAUAUUGGCCAGAGACCGAUAGCGCACAAGUAGAGUGAUCGAAAGAUGAAAAGCACUUUGAAAAGAGGGUUAAAUAGCACGUGAAAUUGUUGAAAGGGAAGGAUUUGUGACCAGACUUUUUCUGGGCGGAUCAUCCGGGGUUCUCUCCGGGGCACUUUGCCCAGUAAAGCCCAGCAUCGAUUUUCGGCGGCGGAUAAAAGCAGUGGGAAUGUGGCUCUCUACGGGGAGUGUUAUAGCCCAUUGUAUAAUACGCUGCUGGGGAUCGAGGUACGCGCUUCUGCUAGGAUGCUGGCGUAAUGGUUAUCAAUCACCCGUCUUGAAACACGGACCAAGGAGUCGAACAUUUGUGCAAGUGUUUGGGUGUUAAACCCUCACGCGUAAUGAAAGUGAACGGAGGUGAGAGCCCGCAAGGGUGCAUCAUCGACCGAUCCUGAAGUUUUCGGAUGGAUUUGAGUAAGAGCAUAACUGUUCGGACCCGAAAGAUGGUGAACUAUGCGUGGAUAGGGUGAAGCCAGAGGAAACUCUGGUGGAGGCUCGCAGCGGUUCUGACGUGCAAAUCGAUCGUCAAAUCUGCGCAUGG
This 818-nucleotide ribosomal RNA is filed under the name Pestalotiopsis spathuliappendiculata. RNAcentral describes it as "partial 28S ribosomal RNA". It matches the Rfam family "Eukaryotic large subunit ribosomal RNA", at positions 77 to 920 of the family's 3401-position model. The record is from RNAcentral. Lineage: Eukaryota; Fungi; Ascomycota; Sordariomycetes; Amphisphaeriales; Sporocadaceae.